Sciurus carolinensis (gray squirrel) is the source of this 956-nucleotide long non-coding RNA. RefSeq lists it as uncharacterized. The record is from RefSeq and is a predicted model, not a curated record. Lineage: Eukaryota; Metazoa; Chordata; Mammalia; Rodentia; Sciuridae. The transcript has 4 exons.
AGGGCGGAAUGCCUGCAGGCAGCUGCCCAGGAACCUGCAGCUCACCGGUGGGCACGGGCGUUCCGCCAGCUUGUCACAUAGGGUCACUCGGGCGUGCAGGUAGAGUGUAUCGCUGUUUAAGAAGCGGAACAGUUUGAAGGCUAUCGUCACCUGGAGUGAGGCCCCGUUGGAUUGUAGACCAUGGAGCAGCCGGCUGGGGACUGGGCAGCUGUGGGGAGAGGCAGCGACACCGACUGGUUAGCGAGCCCGGUGUUGCGAAAGCACCAACGAUGAUUACCCUCUGUUUACUUGCCCUGUGUAAAUUCAGGUGCUGGAUCUCGUGCUGAGAACUUUACAUGGAUUAUUUCUUUUAAUCCUACACCAAUUCUAGGAGGAAGGCAUAUAGAGGAGAAUGACACAAUCUGUGCUCAUAGCUACAAAAGCAUCCAGCAUAAGCCACCGUCUUAAGAGCUGAUCUGGCACAGCAGUUGAGUGCCUGCAGCCACACAUGCCCUGUGGGACCCUGGUCCCUGGCCUUCACAAGCCCACUCAGAAUCUCUUGCCCAGGAAUUAGCAACUACAGCCAGUAUGGAGCAGCCAAUGUAAAGCUUAUGAGGUGACACAGCCAUCUUGUGCCAGCUCACGGUUCUACCUUGGCAGUCAUGUAUGGGAACCCACUCAGAUGAAAUGGGCAUCCCAAACCCUAUUUUAACGACCUUCAUUGGCUUUAUUUUCAAUUCUAGAAUCAGGUGACCCUUCACCCCAUAAAACAGAGUAGGCGGGGCUCCAUGGCAGAGCACUAGCUUUGUACGUAGUGCAAGGCCCUGGGUUUGAUCCCCAGCACUGAAGAAAAAAAUAUUUCAGAUGGUCCAAGCAAAACAGGUUGAGUUUCAUAGACAGAGAAGGGCUUGAAGAAAGCACAAAACAAUAACAUAAACAAAUUAGUUAUUUCAUUAGUUAUUUCAGAUAUUUUCUUU